CGCCGCGCAGAGGACAGGACGUCCUGCAUGUUUCCUGAAACAGUGACGCCCGCGGCCGGCAGCCGGGAGGCGGCGUGGGAAGAGCCUGUGUGUCUCCACCGCCAUCCCGCCCCUCCCAGCGCUGCUUCCCUCUCCCUGCACUGUCCCCGCUUAGCACUGACUGCCGCCCGGUUACUGUAUGUUUCCGAUUUCAGGUGUAGGUGUACUUUAAGGGAAAAUUGCUGAGACUUUGGAGGGGUGAAAGGAUGAGGAAACCCUUUAACUUCAGAUGCAAUUUAAGAUGGAAAAUAUUACGGUCUUUUCUUCCAUGAAUUCUUAGGCAGGGGGGAGAUCAAAUUCAGGGAGUUCCAUUCCUGCUGACGUCGGAUCCCUGAGGCCGCUUCCUCCGCAUUAGGAACUCUGGGCCAUGAGGACCCGGAGGCCACUGAGCAGUGCCCGCCACUCCCUCCCUCCCAGGCCGGCCCUUCUUCUCCAGCCCCGGCUGCCAGAAGAGAAAAGUUAGCAACCAGCCAGAGUCCCGAGUCAGACACAAGAAACCUCCCCUCCCGGGGCAAGGAUGACAUGGAGGAGAGCAUGUCAGCUCUCCCUGUAGCAGGCCGCCUUCCUCUGGGCGCAGUGACCCAGUAACUUCAGAUGCGGAUGUGCUUCCCUGGGAGCGAUCGCAUUCCUGUCUAUAGAACCCGUGCUCGGACGGGUCAGUUACCGGGUCAGCGGGGACUCGCAUCCCUUCGCGCGCUGGCUGGCUGGGAACCCAGGGAGGUGCUGAGGGCUCCGGGCUUUAGUUCCCUAUCAGCUCCAUCAACCUGUUUAACUCCACUCGGCCGCCUCUGAGGACUCAUGACUGUCUCUGUGGCAGCGAGUGUGAUGGGCCGAACAGCAGGUGCAGGACACCAGGCCAGAAGCCCCCCCUGAGGCCCAGGCUGGCCUCAUCGCUCCUGGCCUUGCUCACGGCUGCGUUCAGCUGGGCAGAGGCAGGGGAAGAGCGAAGCCUUCCUAGGGGCCUGCACUCAAGUCUGCUGCCCGGUCCUGAGCCGCCCCCCCCCUCCACC
Myotis brandtii (Brandt's bat) is the source of this 1049-nucleotide long non-coding RNA. RefSeq lists it as uncharacterized. The record is from RefSeq and is a predicted model, not a curated record. The transcript has 4 exons. NCBI's taxonomy places the organism in Eukaryota, Metazoa, Chordata, Mammalia, Chiroptera, Vespertilionidae.